RNAcentral lists this ribosomal RNA (432 nucleotides) under uncultured bacterium. RNAcentral describes it as "partial 16S ribosomal RNA". It matches the Rfam family "Bacterial small subunit ribosomal RNA", at positions 29 to 507 of the family's 1533-position model. The record is from RNAcentral.
AACGAACGCUGGCGGCAUGCCUAACACAUGCAAGUCGAACGAGACCUUCGGGUCUAGUGGCGCACGGGUGCGUAACGCGUGGGAACCUGCCCUUAGGUUCGGAAUAACUCCCCGAAAGGGGUGCUAAUACCGGAUAAUGUCUUCGGACCAAAGAUUUAUCGCCUUUGGAUGGGCCCGCGUUGGAUAGCUAGUUGGUAGGGUAAAAGCCUACCAAGGCGACGAUCCAUAGCUGGUCUGAGAGGAUGAUCAGCCACACUGGGACUGAGACACGGCCCAGACUCCUACGGGAGGCAGCAGUAGGGAAUAUUGGACAAUGGGCGAAAGCCUGAUCCAGCAAUGCCGCGUGAGUGAUGAAGGCCUUAGGGUUGUAAAGCUCUUUUACCCGGGAUGAUAAUGACAGUACCGGGAGAAUAAGCGCCGGCUAACUCCGUG